This 245-nucleotide ribosomal RNA is filed under the name uncultured bacterium. RNAcentral's name for it is "partial 16S ribosomal RNA". It matches the Rfam family "Bacterial small subunit ribosomal RNA", at positions 524 to 768 of the family's 1533-position model. The record is from RNAcentral.
UACAGAGGUCCCGAGCGUUGUUCGGAUUCAUUGGGCGUAAAGGGUGCGUAGGCGGCGAGGUAAGUCUGAUGUGAAAUCCCGGGGCUCAACCCUGGAACUGCAUUGGAUACUGCCUUGCUUGAGUACUGGAGAGGAGACUGGAAUUUACGGUGUAGCAGUGAAAUGCGUAGAGAUCGUAAGGAAGGCCAGUGGCGAAGGCGAGUCUCUGGACAGUUACUGACGCUGAGGCACGAAGGCCAGGGGAG